Molecule: long non-coding RNA, 205 nt
Filed under: Musa acuminata (dwarf banana)
Lineage: Eukaryota; Viridiplantae; Streptophyta; Magnoliopsida; Zingiberales; Musaceae
Description: long non-coding RNA (MACU_LNC010967)
Source: RNAcentral
CCGGAUCCUUACUCUCAACUGGAAUCAUCUUAUCUUGUUACUACCCUAUGCAAUAGGCAACAAACACCUUUUCUUCUUUAUACGACAAAAGACUCGCACUAGGCCUCUCACUAGUCGAAUAGAACUCACUCGUAUUCUUUACUUAUGGGGCUUGGCUUCAAAACCUUUCAUUUCUUUUAGUACAGGUCCAACAACAUAAUGCUUG